This is a transfer RNA of Ipomoea nil (Japanese morning glory), 67 nucleotides long. It matches the Rfam family "tRNA". Rfam says of the family: Transfer RNA (tRNA) molecules are approximately 80 nucleotides in length. Their secondary structure includes four short double-helical elements and three loops (D, anti-codon, and T loops). The record is from Rfam. Lineage: Eukaryota; Viridiplantae; Streptophyta; Magnoliopsida; Solanales; Convolvulaceae.
GCGGAUGUAGCCAAGUGGAUUAAGGCGGUGAAUCCACUAUGCGCGGGUUCAAUUCCCGUCGUUCACC